This 1714-nucleotide ribosomal RNA is filed under the name Salmonella enterica. Its description in RNAcentral is "partial 23S ribosomal RNA". It matches the Rfam family "Bacterial large subunit ribosomal RNA", at positions 1 to 1566 of the family's 2925-position model. The record is from RNAcentral. Lineage: Bacteria; Pseudomonadati; Pseudomonadota; Gammaproteobacteria; Enterobacterales; Enterobacteriaceae.
GGGUUGUGAGGUUAAGCGACCAAGCGUACACGGUGGAUGCCCUGGCAGUCAGAGGCGAUGAAGGACGUGCUAAUCUGCGAAAAGCGCCGGUAAGGUGAUAUGAACCGUUAUAACCGGCGAUGUCCGAAUGGGGAAACCCAGUGUGACUCGUCACACUAUCAUUAACUGAAUCCAUAGGUUAAUGAGGCGAACCGGGGGAACUGAAACAUCUAAGUACCCCGAGGAAAAGAAAUCAACCGAGAUUCCCCCAGUAGCGGCGAGCGAACGGGGAGCAGCCCAGAGCCUGAAUCAGCAUGUGUGUUAGUGGAAGCGUCUGGAAAGGCGCGCGACACAGGGUGACAGCCCCGUACACAAAAGCGCAUGUGCUGUGAGCUCGAUGAGUAGGGCGGGACACGUGGUAUCCUGUCUGAAUAUGGGGGGACCAUCCUCCAAGGCUAAAUACUCCUGACUGACCGAUAGUGAACCAGUACCGUGAGGGAAAGGCGAAAAGAACCCCGGCGAGGGGAGUGAAACAGAACCUGAAACCGUGUACGUACAAGCAGUGGGAGCCCCACCACUAAGCCAGUGGUGAACUCCACAUACGCAUCCUUUGCGGAAGAUGCGGUUAACGGAGCGAAAGCGACGUUCAACCUAAAAAGAAGCAGAGGGGGCUUAGUGGUGGGGUGACUGCGUACCUUUUGUAUAAUGGGUCAGCGACUUAUAUUCUGUAGCAAGGUUAACCGAAUAGGGGAGCCGCAGGGAAACCGAGUCUUAAUUGGGCGUUAAGUUGCAGGGUAUAGACCCGAAACCCGGUGAUCUAGCCAUGGGCAGGUUGAAGGUUGGGUAACACUAACUGGAGGACCGAACCGACUAAUGUUGAAAAAUUAGCGGAUGACCUGUGGCUGGGGGUGAAAGGCCAAUCAAACCGGGAGAUAGCUGGUUCUCCCCGAAAGCUAUUUAGGUAGCGCCUCGUGAACUCAUCUCCGGGGGUAGAGCACUGUUUCGGCCAGGGGGCCAUCCCGGCUUACCAACCCGAUGCAAACUGCGAAUACCGGAGAAUGUUAUCACGGGAGACACACGGCGGGUGCUAACGUCCGUCGUGAAGAGGGAAACAACCCAGACCGCCAGCUAAGGUCCCAAAGUCAUGGUUAAGUGGGAAACGAUGUGGGAAGGCCCAGACAGCCAGGAUGUUGGCUUAGAAGCAGCCAUCAUUUAAAGAAAGCGUAAUAGCUCACUGGUCGAGUCGGCCUGCGCGGAAGAUGUAACGGGGCUAAACCAUGCACCGAAGCUGCGGCAGCGAACGUAUCACUUAAAGCGAUUCAGCGGAUGACGAUUGACGGAGCGAAGCGACGUCAAAGCGUUUUACAACGUCGAGUCGGUUUAAGGAUACGUUCGUUGGGUAGGGGAGCGUUCUGUAAGCCUGCGAAGGUGUGUCGUGAGGCAUGCUGGAGGUAUCAGAAGUGCGAAUGCUGACAUAAGUAACGAUAAUGCGGGUGAAAAACCCGCACGCCGGAAGACCAAGGGUUCCUGUCCAACGUUAAUCGGGGCAGGGUGAGUCGACCCCUAAGGCGAGGCCGAAAGGCGUAGUCGAUGGGAAACAGGUUAAUAUUCCUGUACCUGGUGUUACUGCGAAGGGGGGACGGAGAAGGCUAUGUUGGCCGGGCGACGGUUGUCCCGGUUUAAGCGUGUAGGCUGGUUUUCCAGGCAAAUCCGGAAAAUCAAGGCUGAGGCGUGA